This 312-nucleotide ribosomal RNA is filed under the name uncultured bacterium. Its description in RNAcentral is "bacterial SSU rRNA". It matches the Rfam family "Bacterial small subunit ribosomal RNA", at positions 163 to 507 of the family's 1533-position model. The record is from RNAcentral.
CUAAUACCGGAUAAUGUCUUCGGACCAAAGUAUUUAUCGCCCGGAGAUAAGCCCGCGUAGGAUUAGCUAGUUGGUGGGGUAAAGGCUCACCAAGGCGACGAUCCUUAGCUGGUCUGAGAGGAUGAUCAGCCACACUGGGACUGAGACACGGCCCAGACUCCUACGGGAGGCAGCAGUGGGGGAAUAUUGGACAAUGGGCGAAAGCCUGAUCCAGCAAUGCCGCGUGAGUGAUGAAGGCCUUCGGGUUGUAAAGCUCUUUUACUCGGGACGAUAAUGACGGUACCGAGAGAAUAAGCCCCGGCUAACUCCGUG